AUGUGUGUAUAUAUAUAUAUAUAUAUAUAUACCCAUACAUAUUUCUUUCUCUUUUUUUUCGUAAAAUAAACAAAUCAAAAGUAGAAAAAUUUUAAACAAAACUUUUCUCAAGGAGGCGAAAAUCUAAGAACAGUAGCAGCAGCAGCAGCAACAACAACAGCCACAACAACAAUAAAAAUAACGACAAUAACAAUAACAACAACAGCAACAACAAUGCAACAAAACAAAGCUUUUUUUUAAAAAAAAAUAUCAAAAUGUCUUACAGGAAAAAAAAUAAUAAAAAUCGCUCCCAAAUGAUAGCCAUUAAAUGUUCGGUGUUUCUCUUCAGCUCUUGGAGUUUCCUCGUUAGUAUUUAUCAGUUAUGACUUAUCUGAUAUUUUACAGUAAGACGAAAAUACAAAAACGCAAAGAAAGGCCAACAAAAGUCUUUCCUUAGUAUAAAUAUAUGCAGUGGAAUAUAUUUAAGAAAGGAAAAAAAAGCAGAGAAGAAUCUCUUUAGUGUCUGUCAUUUUUGACUUGGAGUAGUUAUUGCACUGCACUCUAAUUGUCAUUGUUCAUUAAUUAUUAUCAUUAUUAUUAUUAUUAUUAUCAAUAUUAUUAUUAUUGUUGUUGUUGUUGUUGUUGUUUUUCUUUGUCUGAGAAACAAGGAAAAAACAAAAGAGAAAAGCUAUGUUGAGGUAGAUACGAAAACAUCGUCGUAUUAUAUUUUUUGGUGGGAGUGUAUAUAUGUAUGUAUGUAUGUAUUAUACAUUUGUGUGUAUUUGUGUGUGAGUGUAUACAUAUAUGCCUACAUAUAUAUAUGUGUAUCCACAUAUAUGUAUGUAUGUAAAUAUAUAUAUAUAUGUGUGUGCGAGUAUGUGUCACUGAGAGUAUAUUUGUGUGCUUAUAUAUAUAUAUAUAUAUAUAUAUAUAUAUAUAUAUAUAUAUAUAUAUAUGUGUGUGUGUGUGUGUGUGUGUGUGUGUGUGUGUGUGUGUGUGUGUUUAUAUAGAUAUACAUACAUAUUUCUAUCUAUCUAUACAUAUAUAUAUAUAUAUAUAUAUAUAUAUAUAUAUAUAUAUAUAUAUACAGAGAAACAGACAGAGGAACACAGUGACACACAAACAUAUUGAUAGGCAGACGCAUAGAAAUACAGAUAGAUAGAUAGAUAGAUAGAUAGAUAGAUAGAUAGAUAGAUAGAUAGAUAGAUAGAUAGACAGAUAGAUAGAGUGACGGGCAUAUACCUGAAUACAUACAUACAUGCAUGCAUACGUAUAUACAUGAAUGCAUACAUACGUACAUACAUGUAUGCAUACAUACAUUCUUGCAUACAUGCAUGCAUCGUAAUGUAACAAAACAGAGGGAAUCAAAAACUUCCGUAGACACGUUUUUAUCAUAAACAUGCGACUGUCAAUCGGUGUAGGAUAUUCUGGCGGCCAUUUUACACAAUCGAAAUAUUAAAAUAAUUUAAGUCUUUUUCAGUCAACAGUAAAUACAACACUAAGUUCAUAUUUGGUUAAAUUUUCCGUGUAUUUGUUAUCAUCGUCAUCGUUGCUAUUAAUAUUGUUAUUAUUGUUAUCAGUAACAUUAAUAUCAUCGUCAUCAUCAUCAUCAUCAUCAUCAUCAUCAUCAUCAUCAUCAUCAUCAUCAUUAUCAUUAUUAUUAUUAUUAUUAUUAUUAUUAUUAUUAUUAUUAUUAUUAUUAUUAUUAUUAUUAUUAUUAUUAUUAUUCAGGCAGCGAGCUGGCAGAAACGUUAGCACGCCGGACAAAAUGCUCGACGGCAUUUCGUCUGCCUUUACUUUCUGAGUUCAAAUUCCGCCGAGGUCGACUUCAAAUCGAUCCUGUUGUCACCAAGGCAUGCAAUCAUUAUUAUUAUUAUUAUUAUUAUUAUUAUUAUUAUUAUUAUUAUUAUUAUCAUAUUUGGAAAUAUAUAAUGCAUAUAAAUGAAAAAAAAAGUACAUACAUGUAUCAUAUUUCUUUCUUGAUAUGCAUAUAUAUAUAUAUGUAUAUACACGCAUUCGCAGUCAUACAGUUAUUACAUACACACACAUAUAUAUUGUUGUAUCUUGAGAGGGUCAUUUUGCCAACGAGGUAACUAAACGCACUGGCCUUAUUUAACUUCUCUUGAUUAUUAUUUUUAUUAUUAUUAUUAUUAUUAUUAUUAUUAUUAUUAUUAUUAUUAUUAUUAUUAUUAUUAUUAUUAUUAUUAUCAUCAUCAUCAUCAUCUUUAUGAUUGUUGUUGUUGUUAAGAUGUCCAGUUGGCAGACUCGUUAGCACGCAGGGCGAAAUCCUUACCGGUAUUUUGUCCGCCGUUGCGUUCUGAGUUCAAAUUCCGCCGAGGUCGACUUUGCCUUUCAUCCUUCCGGGGUCGAUAAAUUAAGUACCAGUUACGCACUGGGGUCGAUGUAAUCGACUUAAUCCGUGUCUGUCUUUGUUUGUCCCCUCUGUGUUUAGCCCCUUGUGGGUAGUAAAGAAAUAGGUAUUUUGUCCGUCUUUACGUUCUGAGUUCAAAUUCCGCCAAGGUCGACUUGACUUUCCAUCAUUUGGGGGGUCGAUAAAUUAAGUACUAGUUAUGCACUGGGGUCGAUGUGAUUCACUUAUUCCCUCCCCCGAACUUGCUCACCUCGUGCCAAAAUUCGGAAUUAUUAUUAUUAUUAUCAUUAUUAUUAUUAUUAUUAUUAUUAUUAUUAUUAUUAUUAUUAUUAUUAUUAUUAUUAUUAUUAUUAUUAUCGUUGUUGUUGCUGCCGUUAUUGCUAUUGUUACUGUUACUAUUAUUGAAACAGAUUAAAUGCAAUAUGGUAUACAUUCUGGUUCUCCAACAUAUUUUAUUGAGCUAGAUUCCAUCAAGGACAACUUUGACUUCCCAAACUUCCGGGGAUCGAUAAAGUAUAGAAGACCAGUUAAGUACAAUACUGAGGACAGUGCUAUUGUUUAACCCGUUCCCUCUCAAAGGUUUGUCUCCUUGGCACGGCCAGAAUAAUCAGGAAAGUAUUAGAUAGUUGAAAAGAGCAGAUAGCAUGGGACCGUAGGCUGCAGGCAGCAGGGCCGCUACGAAUGCAAGACACCAGGGGUACUAACAAAACCUGGGGUAACAUAAUAGUAAUAAUAAUAAUAAUAAUAAUAAAAAUAAUAAUAAUAAUAAUAAUAAUAAUAAUAAUAAUAAUAACAAUAAUAAUAAUAAUAAUAAUAAUAAUAAUAAUAAUAAUAAUAAUAAUAAUAAUAAUAAUAAUAACAAUAAUAAUAUUAAAAAUAACAAAAAUGAUAAUAAUAAAUGAAAUAGAACCAGUCCAGAGUUUCGUUUCUGGCAAAAAUGGCCGUUCUCGAGGCUGUUUAACUAUACACAAAAUUUCUCGUACAUCAAGGAUCUCGGAAAGCAAAUGAACAAAUGAUAUUUUAAAGAUAUAGACACACACACACACGCACACACACACACACACACACUCACACACACACUAAACUCUUGCACUCACGCGCGCGCUCAUAUGUGUGCGUAUAUAUAUAUAUAUAUAUAUAUAUAUAUAUACAUAUUCACACAAUCGCGCACACUCAUAUAAGUAGACAUAUAUAUAUGUAUAUAUAUGUUUCUGUGUGUAUGUGUGUAUGUAUGCAUGUAUGUAUAUAUGCUUGCAUAUAUGUAUGCGUGUAUAUACAUUUACAUAUACAUAUAUGCGAAAUUACACAUUAAACGCCGACGCAGGGUGGGGGUGGAAACAGGGUGACAGAAAAGAAGAAAAUCAAAAAAACCUGUGAGAACUGAAGGAGACAUGACUGAUCGAAAGACGAAUAGAACGGAACCGGAAGUUAAGAUUGAUGUGAGAACAAAAAACUGAAACUAGAUAUAUGACUAAUAUACAUAUACAUAUAUAUAUAUAUAUAUAUAUAUAUAUAUAUACACACACAUACAUACAUGCAUAUAUAUAUA
Molecule: long non-coding RNA, 3899 nt
Filed under: Octopus vulgaris (common octopus)
Lineage: Eukaryota; Metazoa; Mollusca; Cephalopoda; Octopoda; Octopodidae
Source: RNAcentral